GGGAGGGAUAUGUGGUGUCCAUAAGCGUUUUACCAUGUGGGGCUUGUACACUUCACUACAGUGCUUGUUUGGAGGUUUUAUAAUUGAAGCAGGGAGUUUGGUGGUUGUGUAUACUCUCCAUGUUGAGCAGGUGAGGAGGAAGAAAUGGCAUAUCUUUGCUACAGUGUUUGUUUGGAAGUUUUUUAAUAUGGAGAGAAUAGCAAGAGCUUUUUCUUCUGAUGAAGACUCUGUUAUUUAACUAAUUGAAGCGAUUGAUAGCCUGAAUGUAUUUUUCCAGUUGGGAUAUGUGAGUUAUGCCCAUAUGAGGGGCCAGCCAAUAAAAUUAAUCCAGAUUUUGUUGAAGUGAUAAUGAGGAUAGGUCUAUAUCAGCAGUUCUUAACCAGGGAUAUUCAUAUCCCUUGGGGUAUGGGAACUAAAUGCUGGAGGUAUAGGACUUGAUCUCUAGAGUGUUGAUAUUUAUUUUAUUUAAUGUAUGAUUAUCCAAUAUGGUAAUACCGCUUGGGGGGUAUGGGACCAUAUUGGACAAUCCAUUGGGGAUCUGGAGUCAUCAAAAGAUUAAGAACCCCUAGUCUAU
This 574-nucleotide long non-coding RNA is filed under the name Androctonus crassicauda. The record is from RNAcentral. Lineage: Eukaryota; Metazoa; Arthropoda; Arachnida; Scorpiones; Buthidae.